CUGGGUCAGAAGACAAGAAUUUCCAGGGGAAGUCCUCAGUCAUCCUGGUGCUUCCCCAAGUGAUGGUGGGAAUCUGACACUCAGAGGGAAUGAAGGGAACUGGAGGAAGAGCCAUCCUUGAGACAGUACAGCAAAGGACUUGGCUGAGUUAUGUCUCUGUCCUAAAACUUCUGGGAAGGCAGGAUUUAAAGCCCUGAACUAGGGAAGUUGGCUGAAGAAAUCUCUUAUGUGUUCGAGAGAGCAAGAUGCUGAGGCUACAGAGCUGAGAGAAACAAACUCCCAAGUAAAAAAGAGGAGAUAUCAUAAGGGUACCAAGUCAUAAUGUACUCACAGCCAAGUCUAGUGAUGAAGGCCCCACAUUGACAAAGAAAUACAAAGAAGCAACUACCAGGGCCUAAUGUAGCUUACUAAGAAUGGACGCUCAGCUGCCAUGGAAACAAAGCAAGUAGCAUCCUCUGGGACCAGCAAAAUACCAAAGUCCUUACUUCCUUAGGCCAGGGAGUUUGUCACCCAAUGGACUACAGAAGCCUAUCCAGUUGAAUAAGCUGUGGCCUCCUCUCUCCGGCCGACAGAGAACAGGUCAGGACUCUUCAUCCUGCUCUGAGACCUGAAGGAAACAUUCCCAAGUUCAUGUAUAAAGAGAAGAAUAUGCAGCAUGUAUGUCUAAUCUCCCCCUCAAGGCGACACACUUGAAAACAGAAAUCAAGAUUUAUCUCUCUAACUGUAAUCAUUCUAAAAGCCAGACAGAAUUAAUAGUGUUUCAUUUUGGGGGGAAAUUGUCUAAAGUUAAUAUAAAUUACUUAGGCUAUUAUUGAAAAAUCACAUAUAUAAAUCUGAUGUUUCUCUCAGGAUUGUGUUUGCAGAUUUAUAGACCCUAUGUAAUAUAAAUGAGAAUGAGGAAACAACGAUCUUAUUCAAUAUUCUCAUGCUGCACACAGUAAAUGGUCUAUAUCCACACCACUUUCUCUUUGCUCAGGCCACUCUGGCCUGCAGCUGCUCUCUGAAUCUACCAGGUUCUGUCCUGCGAUCCCUAAGUGGUGUAGCACAGGCUUUCUCUCGGAUGGAAGCCCUUUCAAUGUCCCUCCUUGUGAGUGACCUCCCUGAUUGCCUACUCAGCAUCACCCUCACCUCCAAACUCUCGCAGGUGUCCAAGCCCUUCGCUAUGGCUCAGCUCCAUCUGCCUGGGACAGCUUGGGUAUCACUACUAAAUUGCUUCAGAGGAACAUUUUGGAUUUUGUAUUCUUUCAGAUGUUGUAACAUUUUCAUUCACAUAAUGAGACGUCUUGGGAUGAAAACCAA
Molecule: non-coding RNA, 1299 nt
Organism: Cricetulus griseus (Chinese hamster)
Lineage: Eukaryota; Metazoa; Chordata; Mammalia; Rodentia; Cricetidae
Source: RefSeq, a predicted model, not a curated record